UGGGGAAAUUAUGUGAAACCGGUGAGAUUUGGGGAAUUGUGGGGGCUUUCUGUGGGGAAGGUUGCAAUGGAGAGGGGGAGAGAGGGCAUAUACGACGGCGGCGGAGGCGAACUGGAGAGGAAGAAGGAGGAGAAGGAGCAAGAAGAAUGAGAAGGAAGACGAGAAAGCGGAAGAAAGAGAAGGAAAAAGAAGAGAAAGAAAAAUUGUGUAAAUUUUACCCAAAGAGUGCAACUUUUACUUAAAAAAUAUAACUUUCAUUUUAAAG
Molecule: long non-coding RNA, 265 nt
Filed under: Ananas comosus (pineapple)
Lineage: Eukaryota; Viridiplantae; Streptophyta; Magnoliopsida; Poales; Bromeliaceae
Description: long non-coding RNA (ACOM_LNC008878)
Source: RNAcentral